Molecule: long non-coding RNA, 928 nt
Organism: Solanum pennellii
Lineage: Eukaryota; Viridiplantae; Streptophyta; Magnoliopsida; Solanales; Solanaceae
Exons: 5
Source: RefSeq, a predicted model, not a curated record
AUGAUAUUUUGACUUUACUCAUUACCAUUACAAUUCUAGCUAGGUCUAGAAACAUCCAUCUUCUUCAUCAUUGUACCAUUCUUCAUUCUAUAUCAGUACGAGUCUCUUUGUAGGACCAAGGGAAUUUCAAAUAACUGGUAAUAUGAAUUGUAAAUAAAUUACUACAGAGAGAAGGAGGAGACUGAAGAGCCUCUUUCGGAAGAUGUUAAUAUGGAUAAUGUUGAGGAUUUGAGGACUUCAAAGCAAAUUGUCAUUUAUAUUGAGCAUAAUUCCAUGUCAGAUUUUACUUCUAGCUUGCUUCGGGGAUUUCUUCAUCAGAGAAAACUUCGUGAUAACUGUUUUAAUCCAUUUGAAGCAUUGGCGAUGAAAUAAUUAUAUACGGGUAUACAGACAUGAAUAUGACUUUUGAUGAUGAUAUAGUGGCAGUUGAGCUUUUGCCUCAAGAACAGUGGCACGAGGAAAAGUCUUUGGCAUUAGAUGAUGAAGGUUAAGGAAAGGCCUGCAAGGCCGUAUGCCCAUGGGAUGGGGCAGGACUCUUCAAAAAAUGUGUGCAUCUAUCCAGAAACAUAGGACCUUGGCUUACCAAUGGAUAAAUGCAAGCUUUAGUAAUUAAUCUUGUUAUUGAGCCUAGACAAGUAUUGACAAAGCGGCCAACACCGAAUUAAGUGUUUAUGUACGGGAUUUGAGUUGAUAAAUAAAGAAUAGUGAGAGCAAAAGAGGGUUAUGCAAGUUGUUGAGAAAAAUGUCUACCCUCUCAUCCCCUUCUAUGAGUUCUACUUCUAAUCUCCUUUCUUCUACUUGUGUUCCUCAAUUUCUAUUUAGUUUUUAAAUUCCUUUGUAAUUCUAAUUACGAGUUAGUGAAACAGAUUUGUCGGUUGUUUGAAUUUGAAUUGAGUUGGUCUUGUUAUCGGGUUUGUUACAUCUUUUA